GACGAACGCUGGCGGCGUGCUUAACACAUGCAAGUCGAACGAUGACGACCGAGCUUGCUCGGUCUGAUUAGUGGCGAACGGGUGAGUAACACGUGAGCAACCUGCCCUUCACUCUGGGAUAACCUCGGGAAAUCGGGGCUAAUACCGGAUAUGAGCUCCUGUCGCAGGGCGGGUGUUGGAAAGUUUUUCGGUGAAGGAUUGGCUCGCGGCCUAUCAGUUUGUUGGUGAGGUAGUGGCUCACCAAGGCGAUGACGGGUAGCCGGCCUGAGAGGGCGACCGGCCACACUGGGCCUGAGACACGGCCCAGACUCCUACGGGAGGCAGAAGUGGGGAAUAUUGCACAAUGGGAGCAAGCCUGAUGCAGCGACGCCGCGUGAGGGAUGACGGCUUUCGGGUUGUAAACCUCUUUCAGCAGGGAAGAAGCGAAAGUGACGGUACCUGAAGAAGAAGCGCCGGCUAACUACGUG
Molecule: ribosomal RNA, 467 nt
Filed under: uncultured bacterium
Lineage: Bacteria
Description: partial 16S ribosomal RNA
Rfam family: Bacterial small subunit ribosomal RNA
Source: RNAcentral